GAUGAAGAACGUAGUGAAAUGCGAUAAGUAAUGUGAAUUGCAGAAUUCAGUGAAUCAUCGAAUCUUUGAACGCACAUUGCGCCCCCUGGUAUUCCGGGGGGCAUGCCUGUCCGAGCGUCAUUACAACCCUCAAGCUCAGCUUGGUGUUGGGCCCCGCCGCCCCGGCGGGCCCUAAAGUCAGUGGCGGUGCCGUCCGGCUCCGAGCGUAGUAAUUCUUCUCGCUCUGGAGGUCCGGUCGUGUGCUCGCCAGCAACCCCCAAUUUUUUUCAGGUUGACCUCGGAUCAGGUAGGGAUACCCGCUGAACUUAAGCAUAUCAAUAAGCGGACGA
RNAcentral lists this unclassified non-coding RNA (329 nucleotides) under soil metagenome. RNAcentral's name for it is "partial contains 5.8S ribosomal RNA, internal transcribed spacer 2, and large subunit ribosomal RNA". The stretch from base 1 to 120 matches the Rfam family "5.8S ribosomal RNA", at positions 35 to 154 of the family's 154-position model. The record is from RNAcentral.